UAGGGAAUCUUCCGCAAUGGGCGAAAGCUUGACGGAGCAACGCCGCGUGAGUGAUGAAGGUCUUCGGAUCGUAAAACUCUGUUAUUAGGGAAGAACAAAUGUGUAAGUAACUAUGCACGUCUUGACGGUACCUAAUCAGAAAGCCACGGCUAACUACGUGCCAGCAGCCGCGGUAAUACGUAGGUGGCAAGCGUUAUCCGGAAUUAUUGGGCGUAAAGCGAGCGCAGGCGGUUAGAUAAGUCUGAAGUUAAAGGCAGUGGCUCAACCAUUGUAGGCAUUGGAAACUGUUUAACUUGAGUGCAGAAGGGGAGGGUGGAAUUCCAUGUGUAGCGGUGAAAUGCGUAGAUAUAUGGAGGAACACCGGUGGCGAAAGCGGCUCUCUGGUCUGUAACUGACGCUGAGGCUCGAAAGCGUGGGGAGCGAACAGG
RNAcentral lists this ribosomal RNA (428 nucleotides) under Bacteroidota bacterium. Its description in RNAcentral is "Bacteroidetes bacterium partial 16S ribosomal RNA". It matches the Rfam family "Bacterial small subunit ribosomal RNA", at positions 355 to 776 of the family's 1533-position model. The record is from RNAcentral. Lineage: Bacteria; Pseudomonadati; Bacteroidota.